UAAACAUGUGAGCUGGCAAGUGUG
Molecule: unclassified non-coding RNA, 24 nt
Filed under: Mus musculus (house mouse)
Lineage: Eukaryota; Metazoa; Chordata; Mammalia; Rodentia; Muridae
Description: oocyte_clustered_small_RNA12980
Source: RNAcentral